CCUGCCCCUAGAGCCAUUGCAGAUGUGGCUGCUGUGUCGCCAGUAGGUGGCAGAGAGGAGAGAGGCUGCGUCCAAACUCUGUUCUGACCUGUGAACACCUGAAUGGUUAGCAGCCGGAGAUG
This is a small nucleolar RNA of Rattus norvegicus (Norway rat), 122 nucleotides long. Ensembl annotates it as small nucleolar RNA SNORA17. Lineage: Eukaryota; Metazoa; Chordata; Mammalia; Rodentia; Muridae. The record is from Ensembl.